Molecule: small nuclear RNA, 24 nt
Filed under: Arabidopsis thaliana (thale cress)
Lineage: Eukaryota; Viridiplantae; Streptophyta; Magnoliopsida; Brassicales; Brassicaceae
Description: snRNA_04830
Source: RNAcentral
UUCUCACCGUAACCUGGCAAAAAG